GACGAACGCUGGCGGCGUGCUUAACACAUGCAAGUCGAACGGAAAGGCCCUGCUUUUGUGGGGUGCUCGAGUGGCGAACGGGUGAGUAACACGUGAGUAACCUGCCCUUGACUUUGGGAUAACUUCAGGAAGCUGGGGCUAAUACCGGAUAGGAGCUCCUGCUGCAUGGUGGGGGUUGGAAAGUUUCGGCGGUUGGGGAUGGACUCGCGGCUUAUCAGCUUGUUGGUGGGGUAGUGGCUUACCAAGGCUUUGACGGGUAGCCGGCCUGAGAGGGUGACCGGCGACAUUGGGACUGAGAUACGGCCCAGACUCCUACGGGAGGCAGCAGUGGGGAAUAUGGCACAAUGGGCGGAAGCCUGAUGCAGCAACGCCGCGUGCGGGAUGACGGCCUUCGGGUUGUAAACCGCUUUCGCCUGUGACGAAGCGUGAGUGACGGUAAUGGGUAAAGAAGCACCGGCUAACUACGUG
RNAcentral lists this ribosomal RNA (468 nucleotides) under uncultured bacterium. RNAcentral's name for it is "partial 16S ribosomal RNA". It matches the Rfam family "Bacterial small subunit ribosomal RNA", at positions 28 to 507 of the family's 1533-position model. The record is from RNAcentral.